This 253-nucleotide ribosomal RNA is filed under the name uncultured bacterium. RNAcentral describes it as "partial 16S ribosomal RNA". It matches the Rfam family "Bacterial small subunit ribosomal RNA", at positions 524 to 776 of the family's 1533-position model. The record is from RNAcentral.
GACGAACCGUGCAAACGUUGUUCGGAAUCACUGGGCUUAAAGGGCGCGUAGGCGGGCAGGCAAGUCAGAGGUGAAAGCCCACGGCUCAACCGUGGAAGUGCCCCUGAUACUGCUUGUCUGGAGGGAGGUAGGGGCGUGCGGAACUUCCGGUGGAGCGGUGAAAUGCGUAGAUAUCGGAAGGAACACCGGUGGCGAAAGCGGCGCGCUGGACCUCUUCUGACGCUGAGGCGCGAAAGCUAGGGGAGCAAACGGG